RNAcentral lists this ribosomal RNA (430 nucleotides) under Bacillus sp. 113-3.2-LH-A-54. RNAcentral's name for it is "bacterial SSU rRNA". It matches the Rfam family "Bacterial small subunit ribosomal RNA", at positions 1 to 426 of the family's 1533-position model. Lineage: Bacteria; Bacillati; Bacillota; Bacilli; Caryophanales; Bacillaceae. The record is from RNAcentral.
UGGAGAUUUGAUCCUGGCUCAGGAGAACGCUGGCGGCAUGCCUAAUACAUGCAAGUCGAGCGGAAAGUGGAGAGCUUGCUCUUCACUUUUAGCGGCGGACGGGUGAGUAACACGUGGGCAACCUGCCCUGCAGAUCGGGAUAACUCCGGGAAACCGGUGCUAAUACCGAAUAGUUUGUUGUGCCUCCUGGCACGGCACGGAAAGGCGGCUUUUAGCUGCCACUGCAGGAUGGGCCCGCGGCGCAUUAGCUAGUUGGUGGGGUAACGGCCCACCAAGGCCACGAUGCGUAGCCGACCUGAGAGGGUGAUCGGCCACACUGGGACUGAGACACGGCCCAGACUCCUACGGGAGGCAGCAGUAGGGAAUCUUCCGCAAUGGACGCAAGUCUAACGGAGCAAUGCCGCGUGAGUGACCAAGGUUUUCGGAUCAG